UCAUUCAAAUAAUCAUCUACAUUGCUAGAAAUAUCCAUUACAUGAGAAAUAAAAAAAUGGAAAUGUUGACCAAAUAUUGACUUUGGUCAACAAUUGAACUUUUGGCCAACUUUGACCAAAGUCAACCCAAAUUAUUCAAACAUCCAAAAUCCCAUUACAAUUUCAAUCCAAUACAAAAUUCCAAUUUUAUUUUUUACAUCAUAUGAUCACAACCAAAAUUCAAUUACAAACAUUCUAAGUCACUUUCUAAUGCAUACCAACUUAUGUAUUAAAAAAAACCAAACAUUUCAAACCAAAUUCCAAAAUUCCAACUCUAUUCAAAUGAACAUUUCAAACCAACUUCCAAAAUUCCAACUCUAUUCAAAUGACCAUUUGAAACCAAUUUCCGAAACUACAAUUCCAUACAUAAACCACCAACUUCCAAAAUUCCAACUCUAUUCAAAUGACCAUUUGAAACCAAUUUCCGAAACUACAAUUCCAUACAUAAACCAUACACAUACAUCUUGAGCUCUGAUUACAUACAACCCUUUCAUUCUUCUUUGUAUAACAGAAUUAUCAGUAGCAUUCUUCACUCUUCUAGUUCUGCUGAAUUUUUGAUUGAUUUACUAACAUCAAAGUAUUUCAACUAUAUUGAUGUCAGUUAUUUUACAUUCAUAAGUCUUGAAAAACUUGCUAGAAAUUUGGAAGAAAAAGAUGUUAUUGAUGAUAAAACUGUAAGUGUAGAUGGCACUAA
This 733-nucleotide long non-coding RNA is filed under the name Lathyrus oleraceus (garden pea). RNAcentral's name for it is "Pisum sativum (pea) long non-coding RNA (PSAT_LNC021815)". The record is from RNAcentral. Lineage: Eukaryota; Viridiplantae; Streptophyta; Magnoliopsida; Fabales; Fabaceae.